This 434-nucleotide ribosomal RNA is filed under the name uncultured bacterium. RNAcentral describes it as "partial 16S ribosomal RNA". It matches the Rfam family "Bacterial small subunit ribosomal RNA", at positions 341 to 792 of the family's 1533-position model. The record is from RNAcentral.
ACGGAAGGCAGCAGUGGGGGAUAUUGCACAAUGGGGGAAACCCUGAUGCAGCGACGCCGCGUGGGCGAAGAAGUAUUUCGGUAUGCAAAGCUCUAUCAGCAGGGAAGAAAAUGACGGUACCUGACUAAGAAGCCCCGGCUAACUACGUGCCAGCAGCCGCGGUAAUACGUAGGGGGCAAGCGUUAUCCGGAUUUACUGGGUGUAAAGGGAGCGUAGACGGCAAGGUAAGUCUGAAGUGAAAUGCCGGGGCUCAACCCCGGAACUGCCUUGGAAUCUAUCUCGCUCGAGUACCGGAGGGGUAAGCGGAAUUCCUAGUGUAGCGGUGAAAUGCGUAGAUAUUAGGAGGAACACCAGUGGCGAAGGCGGCUUACUGGACGGUAACUGACGUUGAGGCUCGAAAGCGUGGGGAGCAAACAGGAUUAGAUACCCUGGUA